UCCCUCUCUGGAUCGUACUUGGAGAGUUUCCAGUACUCUACCAGUCUCAACUAUGGGAGGGAGAGUCAAGCAGAGGCAUACCCAUUCCACUCCCAGCUUGGGAUAGUGGCUAGUGAGUGGAAGGCAAUCUGCUACAAAU
Molecule: small nucleolar RNA, 139 nt
Organism: Ornithorhynchus anatinus (platypus)
Lineage: Eukaryota; Metazoa; Chordata; Mammalia; Monotremata; Ornithorhynchidae
Source: RefSeq, a predicted model, not a curated record